RNAcentral lists this unclassified non-coding RNA (672 nucleotides) under Hevea brasiliensis (rubber tree). The record is from RNAcentral. Lineage: Eukaryota; Viridiplantae; Streptophyta; Magnoliopsida; Malpighiales; Euphorbiaceae.
GAGGCAAAGAUUCCAAAUUUGCCUGUUUUGUGGAAUGAGUAUUUUGACAAGCUAAAUAGAAAAUUUUUUGGGGCUUCCCUAGCAUUCUCAAGCACUUUUGCUUUUGUGUGCUUCUUUUGUAGAUAUCCUGCAAUAAGAGAUCAAAUAUAUUUUUGGGAAAGAUAGGGAGGAAAAACAUAAAAAAUGUGACCAAUAUUGAUUUUGACAAGGAAUGCCUCUGAAUCACCUCUAACCCAUGGUUAAAAACUAAGAAGAAAUUAUAAAAGAUGGAAAAGAUUGAUCUCUUCCCGUUAAAAAAAUAUCGAUAAUCAAUAAUGCAAAACCCAAGUCUGAAAGUUUAAUCAAGCAGUCUAUAACAUUCUCAAUUAACCAUUUUGAAGAGAAGUGAAAGGGAGAUUAAAAGAAUAAAUAAAUAAAUAAUCAGAAUGUAGCUUCUUGGACAUUGAUCAUUCCAACGAUAAAAUCUACAGACGCAAAUUAUAUAGACUAAAUGAACAGUAAAAAAAUUCUAACAAAAAUUAAAUGAUUGAAAUAAAAAAUUCCACAUCUCGUACUAAGAAAAACACUGAAGAUUAAAGCUUAGAUGUAUCAAUUCACAGAAAAAUUCGAAAAGAAAAUAGAUUAAAAAAAAAAAGAUAGAAUAAAAUGGAGGAGACCAUCAUCAUCAUCAUC